This 262-nucleotide ribosomal RNA is filed under the name uncultured archaeon. RNAcentral describes it as "partial 16S ribosomal RNA". It matches the Rfam family "Archaeal small subunit ribosomal RNA", at positions 748 to 1009 of the family's 1478-position model. The record is from RNAcentral.
CAGCCGUAAACUAUGCGCGUUAGGUGUAUCGGUGACCACGAGUCACCGAGGUGCCGAAGGGAAACCGUGAAACGUGCCGCCUGGGAAGUACGGUCGCAAGGCUGAAACUUAAAGGAAUUGGCGGGGGAGGCACCACAACAGGUGGAGCCUGCGGUUUAAUUGGACUCAACGCCGGGAAGCUCACCGGAUAGGACAGCAGAAUGAUUGCCGGGCUGAAGACCCUGCAUGACUAGCUGAGAGGAGGUGCAUGGCGUAGACGUCU